AUUAAAAGUGAAAAUAAGUUUCAGUUUUGUUAGUGUUCAAAUCUAUUUGUCUUAAUGUCUCGUGAAUUUCUAAUCUACAUUUAGGUAAUUUUGGAAACUGCUUUCGCCUGUCUCUGUAUAAGGACAUAGGAACAUUUUUCAAGUCAAUGUAUAUUCAAAUAUUUAUAAUUUACCAAGUAAGUUUCCGGGAAAGUAAUAAAUACAAAUUGCGGAAACGUAUACUCUAAAUUUGCGGAAACGUAGCAUUGGGACUUUGAAAAAUUAGCGGA
This 269-nucleotide long non-coding RNA is filed under the name Mytilus galloprovincialis (Mediterranean mussel). Lineage: Eukaryota; Metazoa; Mollusca; Bivalvia; Mytilida; Mytilidae. The record is from RNAcentral.